This 253-nucleotide ribosomal RNA is filed under the name uncultured bacterium. Its description in RNAcentral is "partial 16S ribosomal RNA". It matches the Rfam family "Bacterial small subunit ribosomal RNA", at positions 524 to 776 of the family's 1533-position model. The record is from RNAcentral.
UACGAAGGGUGCAAACGUUGCUCGGAAUCAUUGGGCGUAAAGCGCACGUAGGCGGCCUGUUAAGUCGGAUGUGAAAUCCCUCGGCUCAACCGAGGACGUGCAUACGAAACUGGCAGGCUCGAGUAUGGAAGAGGGUUGCGGAAUUCCCGGUGUAGAGGUGAAAUUCGUAGAUAUCGGGAAGAACACCGGUGGCGAAGGCGGCUCGCUGGGCCAUUGCUGACGCUGAGGCGCGAAAGCGUGGGGAGCAAACAGG